RNAcentral lists this ribosomal RNA (253 nucleotides) under uncultured bacterium. RNAcentral describes it as "partial 16S ribosomal RNA". It matches the Rfam family "Bacterial small subunit ribosomal RNA", at positions 524 to 776 of the family's 1533-position model. The record is from RNAcentral.
UACAGAGGUCCCAAGCGUUGUUCGGAUUCACUGGGCGUAAAGGGUGCGUAGGUGGUGAGGUAAGUCGGAUGUGAAAGCCCGGGGCUCAACUCCGGAAUUGCCUUUAAGACUGCAUCGCUAGAAUUGUGGAGAGGUAAGUGGAAUUCCGAGUGUAGAGGUGAAAUUCGUAGAUAUUCGGAAGAACACCAGUGGCGAAGGCGACUUACUGGACACAUAUUGACGCUGAGGUGCGAAAGCGUGGGGAGCAAACAGG